Molecule: ribosomal RNA, 395 nt
Filed under: uncultured cyanobacterium
Lineage: Bacteria; Bacillati; Cyanobacteriota
Description: bacterial SSU rRNA
Rfam family: Bacterial small subunit ribosomal RNA
Source: RNAcentral
GGGAAUUUUUCGCAAUGGGCGAAAGCCUGACGGAGCAAUACCGCGUGAGGGAGGAAGGCUCUUGGGUUGUAAACCUCUUUUCUCAAGGAAGAAGUUCUGACGGUACUUGAGGAAUCAGCAUCGGCUAACUCCGUGCCAGCAGCCGCGGUAAUACGGAGGAUGCAAGCGUUAUCCGGAAUGAUUGGGCGUAAAGCGUCCGCAGGUGGUGGUGUGUGUCUAUUGUCAAAGCAUCAUGCUUAACAUGAUAAAGGCAGUAGAAACUACACGACUAGAGUGCGUUCGGGGCAGAGGGAAUUCCUGGUGUAGCGGUGAAAUGCGUAGAGAUCAGGAAGAACAGUCGUCAUGAAGAGUGCUCCGCUAAGUGCGACUAGAUACACAGUAGUCAUGGAGUGACG